UGUUGGUCCCAGUGCUGUGGUGAUGACAACUAAUUGAUCACGUCAGUUUCAGCAUCCUUUGUUCCUUCUCCAUUCCCACUGCUUUACUUGACUAGCCUUUC
Otolemur garnettii (small-eared galago) is the source of this 101-nucleotide unclassified non-coding RNA. It matches the Rfam family "Y RNA". From Rfam's summary of the family: Y RNAs are components of the Ro ribonucleoprotein particle (Ro RNP), in association with Ro60 and La proteins. The Y RNAs and Ro60 and La proteins are well conserved, but the function of the Ro RNP is not known. NCBI's taxonomy places the organism in Eukaryota, Metazoa, Chordata, Mammalia, Primates, Galagidae. The record is from Ensembl.